CUCAAUGAAAAUUCAAUAGCCGCAAUUUUGUGCUAAGGUAGCAUAAUCAUUUGUUUUUUAAUUAAAAACUAGAACGAAAGAUUUAACAUUUCAAUUUCUUUCUCAUAUAUAUAAACUUAACUUAUUCUAAAUAUAAAAAAAUAUUUUUUAAAUAAAAAGACGACAAGACCCUAUUGAACUUAACUAAAGUUUAACUGGGGUAGUUAAUUAAAUACAAUUUUAAUUCAAAUUUUUAAAAAAUCUAAUAUAAUUAAAUAAUAAGUUACCAUAGGGAUAACAGCGUAAUAAUUUUCACAAGAUCUUAUUCAAAAACUUGUUUACGACCUCGAUGUUGAAUUAAUAUUCCAUUAAAUGCAAAAAUUUAAUAAUGAAAGUCUGUUCGACUU
This 386-nucleotide ribosomal RNA is filed under the name Platocoelotes sp. ZZ299. RNAcentral describes it as "partial 16S ribosomal RNA". Lineage: Eukaryota; Metazoa; Arthropoda; Arachnida; Araneae; Agelenidae. The record is from RNAcentral.